Molecule: ribosomal RNA, 429 nt
Filed under: Pseudomonadota bacterium
Lineage: Bacteria; Pseudomonadati; Pseudomonadota
Description: Proteobacteria bacterium partial 16S ribosomal RNA
Rfam family: Bacterial small subunit ribosomal RNA
Source: RNAcentral
UGGGGAAUAUUGGACAAUGGGCGAAAGCCUGAUCCAGCCAUGCCGCGUGUGUGAAGAAGGUCUUCGGAUUGUAAAGCACUUUAAGUUGGGAGGAAGGGCAGUAAGCGAAUACCUUGCUGUUUUGACGUUACCGACAGAAUAAGCACCGGCUAACUCUGUGCCAGCAGCCGCGGUAAUACAGAGGGUGCAAGCGUUAAUCGGAAUUACUGGGCGUAAAGCGCGCGUAGGUGGUUCGUUAAGUUGAAUGUGAAAGCCCCGGGCUCAACCUGGGAACUGCAUCCAAAACUGGCGAGCUAGAGUAGGGCAGAGGGUGGUGGAAUUUCCUGUGUAGCGGUGAAAUGCGUAGAUAUAGGAAGGAACACCAGUGGCGAGGGCGACCACCUGGGCUCAUACUGACACUGAGGUGCGAAAGCGUGGGGAGCAAACAGG